This 845-nucleotide non-coding RNA is filed under the name Baillonius bailloni. RNAcentral describes it as "partial 12S ribosomal RNA". It matches the Rfam family "Bacterial small subunit ribosomal RNA", at positions 9 to 1381 of the family's 1533-position model. The record is from RNAcentral. Lineage: Eukaryota; Metazoa; Chordata; Aves; Piciformes; Ramphastidae.
AAAGACUUAGUCCUAACCUUACCGUUGGUUCCUACUAAACCUACACAUGCAAGUAUCUGCAACCCGGUGCAAAUGCCCUUACCUCUUACUAAGACAAAAGGAGCCGGCAUCAGGCACGCUUCUCCGCAGCCCACAACGCCUUGCUCAGCCACACCCCCACGGGCCCUCAGCAGUGACUAAUAUUAAGCAAUAAGUGUAAACUUGACUUAGUUAAAGUAGACCAGGGUUGGUAAAUCUUGUGCCAGCCACCGCGGUCACACAAGAAACCCAAAUCAACCGUAUACGGCGUAAAGAGUGGCCCAAACACUAUCCCCACCAACUAGGGCUGAAUUGCAACCAGGCCGUCAUAAGCUCAUGAUGCACUCAAACCCCCUAUCAACAUAGCCCUAGCGCCAAGGAAUGACCAAACCCACGAAAGCCAGGGAACAAACUGGGAUUAGAUACCCCACUAUGCCUGGCCAUAAAUCCCGAUGCCCCCCCCUACCCGAGCAUCCGCCUGGGAACUACGAGCACAAACGCUUAAAACCCUAAGGACUUGGCGGUGUCCCAAAACCCCCUAGAGGAGCCUGUUCUAUAAUCGAUAACCCACGCUACACCCAACCCCUCCUUGCCCCAGCAGCCUACAUACCGCCGUCGCCAGCCCACCUCACAUGAGAGCGCAAUAGUGAGCACAAUAAUUCUCCCCAUUAAUAAGACAGGUCAAGGUAUAGCCAAUGGAGGGGAAGAAAUGGGCUACAUUUUCUAACCUAGACCAUACACGAAAGGGGGCCUGAAAUAGGCCCCCGGAAGGAGGAUUUAGCAGUAAAACGCGACAACCAAGCCCGUUUUAAGCUGGCCCUGGGACA